CGGACGGGUGAGUAAUGUCUGGGAAACUGCCUGAUGGAGGGGGAUAACUACUGGAAACGGUAGCUAAUACCGCAUAACGUCGCAAGACCAAAGAGGGGGACCUUGGGCCUCUUGCUAUCGGAUGUGCCCAGAUGGGAUUAGCUAGUAGGUGGGGUAACGGCUCACCUAGGCGACGAUCCCUAGCUGGUCUGAGAGGAUGACCAGCCACACUGGAACUGAGACACGGUCCAG
Molecule: ribosomal RNA, 231 nt
Filed under: uncultured bacterium
Lineage: Bacteria
Description: partial 16S ribosomal RNA
Rfam family: Bacterial small subunit ribosomal RNA
Source: RNAcentral